This 428-nucleotide long non-coding RNA is filed under the name Drosophila melanogaster (fruit fly). Its description in RNAcentral is "long non-coding RNA:CR43621 (Dmel_CR43621)". Lineage: Eukaryota; Metazoa; Arthropoda; Insecta; Diptera; Drosophilidae. The record is from RNAcentral.
UGUUACGGAUUUCCAGAAUGCCCCAUAAUUGGUGGAUUGCUCUGGGAUGCGGCAUGCGUGUUAAUAGCCAUAGCGUUUGUUAAGCCGUCGAUCUCCUUUCUUGGCCACAAUUUAUCGGGACUUUGAUUGCGUAUUAGAAAAAUAUCUGACAUGAGUUCUGGGAAAUUGGUUUAGUCUAGCACUGCAAAAUGACACGCGCUUUCGAACAAUCGAAACAAUCCUGGGGCCAUUGGAAUGUUUUCAAAGGACAUGCAAUGCGGGUAUCUCUUCAUGGAUUGUGGGAGAAUAUUUGUAAAUUUGAUGUAAUCCAACGCCUUAAUUUCUACAAAACACAAAGCAAAUGCAAAUAAUAUGCACGAGAAAGUAUUUACACGAAAUUUCGAGCAUGGAUAUCCAAAAACAAAUUAAACGUGGGAAAAUAUGAAAAU